Parasteatoda tepidariorum (common house spider) is the source of this 158-nucleotide non-coding RNA. Lineage: Eukaryota; Metazoa; Arthropoda; Arachnida; Araneae; Theridiidae. The record is from RefSeq and is a predicted model, not a curated record.
UUGUUUUUCAUAGAGAUCUUACUUCAAAGAAUGUCCUCAUCAAAAUGAAUGAAGAUGAGAUGACUGCAGUUGUUGGUGAUUUUGGCUUAGCAGAGAAAAUACCAGAUUCAAGGGAUCGUAGUCAACAUUUACUAAUUGUUGGUUCACCUUAUUGGAUG